GAUGAACGCUGGCGGCGUGCCUAAUACAUGCAAGUCGAGCGAACAGACGAGGAGCUUGCUCCUCUGACGUUAGCGGCGGGCGGGUGAGUAACACGUGGAUAACCUCCCUAUAAGACUGGUAUAACUUCGGGAAACCGGAGCUAAUCCCGGAUAAUAUAUUGAACCGCAUGGUUCAAUAGUGAAAGACGGUUUUGCUGUCACUUAUAGAUGGUUCCGCGCCGCAUGAGCUAGUUGGUAAGGUAACGGCUUACCAAGGCAACGAUGCGUAGCCGACCGGAGAGGGUGAUCGGCGACACUGGAACUGAGCCACGGUCCAGACUCCUACGGGAGGCAGCAGAAGGGAACCUUCCGCAAUGGGCGAAAGCCUGACGGAGCAACGCCGCGUGAGUGGUGAAGGUCUUCGGAUCGUAAAACUCUGUUAUUAGGGAAGAACAAAUGUGGAAGUAACUAUGCACGUCGUGACGGUAACUAAUCAGAAAGCCACGGCUAACUACGUG
This 497-nucleotide ribosomal RNA is filed under the name uncultured bacterium. Its description in RNAcentral is "partial 16S ribosomal RNA". It matches the Rfam family "Bacterial small subunit ribosomal RNA", at positions 28 to 507 of the family's 1533-position model. The record is from RNAcentral.